AACGAACGCUGGCGGCAGGCUUAACACAUGCAAGUCGAACGGAUGUAGCAAUACAUUAGUGGCGCACGGGUGAGUAACGCGUGGGAACGUGCCCUUAGGUACGGAACAACAUCGGGAAACUGAUGCUAAUACCGUAUAAUAUCUUCGGAUCAAAGAUUUAUCGCCUAAGGAUCGGCCCGCGUUGGAUUAGGUAGUUGGCGAGGUAAUGGCUCACCAAGCCGACGAUCCAUAGCUGGUCUGAGAGGAUGAUCAGCCACACUGGGACUGAGACACGGCCCAGACUCCUACGGGAGGCAGCAGUGAGGAAUAUUGGACAAUGGAGGAAACUCUGAUCCAGCCAUGCCGCGUGAGUGAAGAAGGUCUUCGGAUUGUAAAGCUCUUUUACCCCUGACGAUAAUGACGGUAAGGGGAGAAAAAGCCACGGCUAACUUCGUGCCAGCCGCCGCCGUAA
This 451-nucleotide ribosomal RNA is filed under the name uncultured bacterium. RNAcentral describes it as "partial 16S ribosomal RNA". It matches the Rfam family "Bacterial small subunit ribosomal RNA", at positions 29 to 523 of the family's 1533-position model. The record is from RNAcentral.